UACGGAGGGGGCGAGCGGUGUUCGGAAUUACUGGGCGUAAAGCGCGCGUAGGCGGACCUGCAAGUCGGGGGUGAAAGCACGAGGCUCAACCUCGGAACUGCCUUCGAUACUGCGGGUCUCGAGUCCGGGAGAGGUGAGUGGAAUUCCUAGUGUAGAGGUGAAAUUCGUAGAUAUUAGGAAGAACACCAGUGGCGAAGGCGGCUCACUGGCCCGGUACUGACGCUGAGGCGCGAAAGCGUGGGGAGCAAACAGG
RNAcentral lists this ribosomal RNA (253 nucleotides) under uncultured bacterium. RNAcentral describes it as "partial 16S ribosomal RNA". It matches the Rfam family "Bacterial small subunit ribosomal RNA", at positions 524 to 776 of the family's 1533-position model. The record is from RNAcentral.